Molecule: ribosomal RNA, 406 nt
Filed under: uncultured bacterium
Lineage: Bacteria
Description: partial 16S ribosomal RNA
Rfam family: Bacterial small subunit ribosomal RNA
Source: RNAcentral
AUUGAACGCUGGCGGCAGGCCUAACACAUGCAAGUCGAGCGAGCGGCGGAGGGGAGUGAAGUGUAUGGGGCUCUGCCAGAGAGAGGGGGAUAACUACUAGAAAGGGUGGCUAAUAACGCAUUAUAUCGGCAGACCCCAUAUGGGAUUAGCUAAUAUGUGGGGUAAAGGCACACCUAGGCGACGAUCUCUAGCUGGUAGGAGAGGAUGAUCAGCCACACGGUGACUGAGACACGGCCCAGACUCCUACGGGAGGCAGCAGUGGGGAAUAUUGCACAAUGGGCGCAAGCCUGAUGCAGCCAUGCCGCGUGUAUGAAGAAGGCCUUAUGGUUGUAAAGUACUUUCAGUCGGGAGGCGUUACCCGCAGAAGAAGCACCUGCUAACUCCGUGCCAGCAGCCGCGGUAAUUC